RNAcentral lists this long non-coding RNA (243 nucleotides) under Homo sapiens (human). RNAcentral describes it as "HSALNT0314975". The record is from RNAcentral. Lineage: Eukaryota; Metazoa; Chordata; Mammalia; Primates; Hominidae.
ACCAGAUCCUAGAGGUCAAAGAGAGAAGCCUGAAGUGCUCUGAAGGCUGCCAACAAAAUGUCAAGUGAGUCCACUGACAAAAAGGAAGAGAAACCUUGGAAAAACAUUAUUGCUUAUGUUCCAUCUGAAUCUGAGCAGCUGACCUGAGGAAGGAGGUAAGAAGAAAUGAAGGAAUGAAAUACUGAUAUCUUCCAAGAACUAUUCACAAACAGGUCAGAGAAAAGGGUUUCACUUAGGAUUACC